This is a small nucleolar RNA of Anser brachyrhynchus (Pink-footed goose), 198 nucleotides long. Its record names the gene SNORA74. It matches the Rfam family "Small nucleolar RNA SNORA74". From Rfam's summary of the family: U19 belongs to the H/ACA class of snoRNAs. snoRNAs bind a number of proteins (including dyskerin, Gar1p and Nop10p in the case of the H/ACA class) to form snoRNP complexes. This class are thought to guide the sites of modification of uridines to pseudouridines by forming direct base pairing interactions with substrate RNAs. Lineage: Eukaryota; Metazoa; Chordata; Aves; Anseriformes; Anatidae. The record is from Ensembl.
UCCAGUGGUAGUCAGCUGUCCAGGGCAGCGCAGUGCCUGUGAUGGUGUUACACUGCUGGGAGAUAAACGUCAGUCACUUCUUCUGGCUGUUGUCACCGUUCUGGAGACAGCUGAAACCAAGGAGAAGUGGCCUUGUGCUUCCAUGAGAGUGUGCUAAGGGCUUGCUAUCCCUCUAGUGCUAGUCCGGAAGCAUACAUG